Molecule: long non-coding RNA, 2265 nt
Organism: Megalobrama amblycephala (Wuchang bream)
Lineage: Eukaryota; Metazoa; Chordata; Actinopteri; Cypriniformes; Xenocyprididae
Exons: 4
Source: RefSeq, a predicted model, not a curated record
UAAUAUUGUGUGAUACUAUUAAAAACAAUAUUUACCUAACAGUUUUUUCUACCAACUAUUAAUGUUAGAUUACAAAUGUUUCAUAGAAGCACUCUUGCAGUAAACAACAACAACAAAACAGUUAAACAGUUCUCCUUUCAUAAACUAAAUAGGUCUUUAUUUUCAAGCUCAUAACAUAUAGAAGUCAGCAGUAGACCAAACACAACAAAUGCUGUAUGAAAUGAUUUUCAAAGAUGUGCAGUGGAAAUAAUUUGAAUUAUUUUCAUGGACAUUUCCUCAAUUCACCAUGCAUGAUAUUUUGAUCUAAUUCUGUCAUUUCCAAAACAUUUGUUUUCUAUUCUCUAGUGAAAAUACCACUGUCGCUGUGAUUUGGGGAGAGUAAAGGAUUUUGUUAUCAGUCUUAGAUAAGAAGCCUCUGAAGUGGAAUACAUACUGUAAUGCAAUUGACCCCAUGUCUCCACACUUUCAAGGUCUGAUGCUUGGCAGACAGGAGUGACUUCACGAGAAGAUAAACAGAGAAUACUUAACACGCUGGUGUGUGCUUGUGUUAGACGUUGUCAAUGCAGCAAAUGCAAUGGCAGAUUACACUCCAACACCGUAACCUUGCUCUCGUAUUCUUACAAAAACAUCUCCAUGUGAAUUGGAGGUGGCUGUUGAAGUUAUUUACAGGAUUUCACAACACUCUCUUCAGUGCCUCUGUGUCAAAAUGAUGAAAGCAGUGAGGUAAACAAGAUAAAUGCUGAAAACAACUUAGAAUUCUCAAGUUACACAACUACUGACUUUGAAAAGUUACUUACUCAAUUUAUAUUAAAAAGCUGCACGUUUAUAGCUUUGUAUUGUCAAGCUGCAUGAAAUCAAGCAGUUGUUAUCUAUCUUCUAACAGAACUACUCGAAUAAUAAUGCAUAAACAUGCAAAGAACGUGCAAAACGAAAUACAUUCAAAGUCUAGUUGGUGGGUUUUAAGAAGAGCUGCAUAAACAGAUGUUUUAGGUCCAUCUGACCCCAAUUGGAUGUAUUCUUAGCAUUCAAAAACAAACAGCUAGAUAGGAUGCAGAGGAUUGGAACGGAACCUGUCAGUAUGCUAACGAAAGCACCAAAAACGCAUACAAGGGAAAAUCUAAAUAAACUACUCAAGCUCACUAACCAACUAGUUGGUUGUUGAAGCAGCAGCAGCAUAAAGCUGAUCACUGGUACGUACGGUGCACUUGUUUUCUGCUUUUUGCAGUAAUAGUAAACAUGUAUUCAGAGGUUCUCAUGGGGCCCUGACCCACUAUAAUGAGAGUGUGUUUAGUCUGAAGGCCAGGCCCUGUGUUGAUGGAUUGCACUGCCUGAGGGAGAGUUUUUUUUUCUUUCUUGACACCACAGGAAGGCUCGACAAGGUGCAGGGUGGACAUAGAUUUCUGUGUGUGUGUGUGCCCUUUUCAAACUAUCGAUUACUGGAGCCGAUUUCAUGUCAUAGCUACAGGCCUCAUGCAUAUGUGGUGGCAAAGGGCAAGAUGAAAGGCAUCAAUCAGACAAUGUUGCUUUAUUAUCUCUCUACAAAAAAACAUGCAAGUGCAGCCUUGAAACUCCAGCUGUUCCCGAAAACCACUGAAUUAGUAAGCUGUCACGGGUUUAUUCGCAAACUGCUCACAGCUACUUGAAAAUUGAAGUUCUCCUUUCCUCGGCAUGCCUCUUCAGAGCACUUCAUCCUGAGGGCAGACUAAUUUAAAGGCACCCCCAUGUCCAAAGAGCCGUGCUCCCAUCAACUGGCCCUAAUGAGCCUGAAACGAACCUGAUGAACCUGACUGAGCCACGGCUGUGAGGUGAUGGGUGGCUGACUGCAGCAAACCUACCCAAGCACAAAGUAUUCAUCUCACUGAGGGGUGCAGACCUCGAGUGCCAGGCUGAGGUGAAGAGGUCCACAGCUGCACCAAGUCUGAGAAGAGAGAAUGGCAGAGGCAAGAGGACCGUGGUUUGGAAAUUCCAAAUUUGGUUUGGAAUUGAUUAUGAUAAAUGAGUAUAAUAAAUCUCAAUGCAAGUUUUAGUACUUAGAGAGCGGUACAACAGCUAUGGCAUAAUAUGAAAAUUCUGUCAUCAUUUAUGGGGACUGAAGUGCUCAAACUUCCAAAAGGACACAUUUUUUUAAGCUUGAAUGCCUCAGUCCACAUUCAUUGUAAUUGCAUGCAAAUUAUUAAAUUAUCAAACAUUUCUUCUUUUGUGUGUAAAAGACAUUAGUUUGGAAUGACAUGAGUAAAUUAUGACAGAAUUUUCAUUUCCAUAUAC